RNAcentral lists this ribosomal RNA (465 nucleotides) under uncultured bacterium. RNAcentral describes it as "bacterial SSU rRNA". It matches the Rfam family "Bacterial small subunit ribosomal RNA", at positions 32 to 469 of the family's 1533-position model. The record is from RNAcentral.
AAUCAACGCUGGCGGCGUGCCUCAGACAUGCAAGUCGAACGCGAAAGUCCCCUUCGGGGGACAAGUAGAGUGGCGCACGGGUGAGUAACACGUAGGUAAUCUACCUUCGGAUGGGGAAUAACAACCGGAAACGGUUGCUAAUACCGCAUAAUGCAGCGGCACCUAAUGGUGACAGUUGUUAAAGCGGGGGAUCGUAAGACCUCGCGUCUGAAGAGGAGCCUGCGGCGGAUUAGCUAGNGGUAAGGUAAUGGCUUACCAAGGCUACGAUCCGUAACCGGCCUGAGAGGGCGGUCGGUCACACUGACACCGACAUACGGGUCAGACUCCUACGGGAGGCAGCAGUCGGGAAUUUUGGGCAAUGGGCGAAAGCCUGACCCAGCAACGCCGCGUGAAGGAUGAAAUCCCUCGGGAUGUAAACUUCGCAAGAAACGGGAAGAAUAAGCGAGAGUUAAUAUUCUUUCGUGU